This 323-nucleotide ribosomal RNA is filed under the name uncultured eukaryote. RNAcentral's name for it is "partial 18S ribosomal RNA". It matches the Rfam family "Eukaryotic small subunit ribosomal RNA", at positions 1470 to 1796 of the family's 1831-position model. The record is from RNAcentral.
CCCUUAGAUGUUCUGGGCCGCACGCGCGCUACACUGAUGCAUUCAACGAGUUUCUUCCUGGUCCGAAAGGAACGGGUAACCUUUGCAAAGCACAUCGUGAUGGGGAUAGAUUAUUGCAAUUAUUAGUCUUGAACGAGGAAUUCCUAGUAAGCACAAGUCAUCAGCUUGUGUUGAUUACGUCCCUGCCCUUUGUACACACCGCCCGUCGCUCCUACCGAUUGAAUGUUCCGGUGAGCUCUUCGGACUGCGCGGUCUGCAGUUUCUGCGUUCCGUGCGGAAAGUUGCGCAAACCUUAACAUUUAGAGGAAGGAGAAGUCGUAACA